This 356-nucleotide long non-coding RNA is filed under the name Selaginella moellendorffii. RNAcentral's name for it is "long non-coding RNA (SMOE_LNC000028)". The record is from RNAcentral. Lineage: Eukaryota; Viridiplantae; Streptophyta; Lycopodiopsida; Selaginellales; Selaginellaceae.
GCUUUUUCCACAAGCGCUCUUAAAAACUCGCAAGCAUACGAGCUGCUCGUUGGAGCUCUCACUCCGAGCACCGCUCCUGCGGGAUUUAAUGGCGAGCUCCUGGUAUAAAAUCGCAAACACGCACCUCUUCUCUCCUACGCUCCAUGCACAGGAAGGCCAGCAACAAUGCUUGCUUCGUUUGUGUUCUUCCUGGUCCUUCUUCUCACCACUUCAGGUAUUGCCUCACCUGUAAAAGAUGAAGUUUUAGAACUCCAGAAAGGAAAGAAAACUUACGAGAUUGUUUGUACUUGCCAGGAGAAGUCGAAUGCCGAUCGAGGAAAAAGACGCAUGACGAAGGAACUUCCAGCAGCAACAAA